This 3529-nucleotide long non-coding RNA is filed under the name Setaria viridis. Its description in RNAcentral is "long non-coding RNA (SVIR_LNC008666)". The record is from RNAcentral. Lineage: Eukaryota; Viridiplantae; Streptophyta; Magnoliopsida; Poales; Poaceae.
CAAAGGUUUACCAAGUUAAAGAAACACAAAAAAAAACCAAAGCAAAAACAGUGCAGCUGAGAUAUACAGGUAUAAAUAAUUAGAAACCAUCAGGCUAAUGUUGUGGCAGAACUCAAGGCGCUGGAUCGUAGGCUGCAGAGUGGAUCUUGGAUUCAUCUCAGAAUAUUCUGCUAGCAACCUCAGUUUGGCCUUGGUAUUUCCCCACCAGACAGGCAGUAUCAGGCCCAUUAUCUGUCUUUGUAGUGUAUGUAGAACUAGAGGAAGAGAGAACGUCCAUUCAAAGAGCUGGGAAAAGCUGAGGCCACGGUGUUGGGAAUAUGAGGCAAAAGGGAAAUGCACGUCAGCAGCAGAUCACAAGAAAGGGUGAGUAGAGCAUGUAAUCCUGGUUUGCAAUUCAGCUCUUUCUUGAUCAGUGAACUGACACAUAGCUGUGUUUUUUCCAGGUAAAUGAAGAAGUGAGAGUGAGGCACAUGCCAGCUAAGUAAUAGACUUCACAGUAGCAUCUCUGUGUGAUAAUACUUAGCCACAGUAAGAGUGUUUCGUCCUGCACAGGUGGACAAGAAGCAUCAUGCAGAAAAUUUUUCCAGUGGUAGUAUCCGACAACAGAUUAGGAUUUGUGUCAAAAAAUAUGAUGGUCCGUCUGGUCGGUGGAAAAUAUUCCAACGACCACCCCUUCUACCUAGGAUCCUUGAAGUUUUGGAUUCUAGAGAAAAAUCAAAAUGUUCUUGUUAAAUUUGUCGUUGUAGUGUUUGAUAACAGUUUAGAAUCCGCCCGUCCUAGGAUCGCUCUGGAAUGCAACAACCUGCUGCAAAUGCAUAAUCUUAUCUGAACAUCACCAUAUCAGUAUAGCCUCGCUAAAUCUUCAGAGUUCAGAGUGAAGGAAAAAAAAUAAGGGAGGCAUCUUUUUGGCUGAUAGCCUUAUUUCACCAGAUCCAAUCGAGCUUAGUUGGGUGCGGAAUAGUUUUAAGUAAUUAAACCAGGAGUAAUUUCAGUUGUGUGAUCUUGUUGUUCAGGACACUUGAGCUUUUCUGAAGUUGUCUAUUUUUCUUCUUUAAAAUGUGAUUCUUUGGUUCUUCGGUUAAAAGUUGUUGAUGGCUGCUGGCUUUAGACAUUAAUAGGGAUAGUCAAGUCUACCCAUACAUUUCUGUACACAUAGCAGUGCACCAUAUGUCUGGCAUCCUUGAAGCUGAAGAUGUUGUUCCCUCCAUCCUAAAUUACUAUUCAUUUUAACUUUUCUAGAUACAUAGCUUUUGAUAUACAUUUAUUCUUCACAUUUAUGGUUAUGUGUAUGAGGAAACAAAAUGCUUCACAACAGGUUUUCAGAUGAGGUAUAUAUGCACAUUCUUGUUUUGUGUUCUUGUUCUGUGUACUGUUUAAAGGCCCGUUUUGCCAUUUUCAGUGCCUAUUAUUGUACCAAAGACCUGUCAUGCUAUUUCUUCUGUUUUUCUGUAUGUCAUGCUGGUGGAAAAAUUUGUCCUAGCUUCAAGCAAUCGGUCAAAUAUAAUGUACUUUCAAGUCUUUCAGAACCAUUUACAUUUUUAUCGCUCCAUCGAUAUUGAUUGAGCACAGAGACCCGGAUAACUUUGGGUGUGUUUGGUUGUUUGCCCCUAUAGCUUUCCUCGCCUAGCUUGGCAAGGUAAGCCUUGCUAGCUUGGCGUGAAAAAACUUGAAAGCUUAAGCUCCAAGGCAGCUAGCUAGCUAACCAAAUAAGUUUGUCUAGUGCCAAGCUAAGCAACACAGUACUCAGCAAAGGGUACCAAACACACCAUUUGUCAUCCACCUGGUGUGGUAUUUUUUUCUUCUAUUUAGUCUUUUUUGUUGUGUGAAGGAGAUCAAAAGGUAAGAGCUGGCUGAAAGAUGUAGCCAACGAAUGGAAUCAAUAUAUAGACAUUCUUUUUCAUUCAGUUAGACCUUCUUUCAUGGCAAAUUCCAAUUUAGAGUUCGAAAAAAGGGCAAAUAAACUUCCAAUUUGCCCAAUCUUUUGUCUAGUGCAUGUCACUCAUUUCUCGUUGAUGCUCGAUCUUGUAACGUGCCUAAUGUUCAAUAGUGCAUACAGCUGGAUAGAGCUUGAUGAAUCAGCCAAGAGCGUGCUGCCCGGGGCAUGCAAGAUACCUUCUACUACCAGUCUACCACAUACAUAUUCACAGUGAAAAGUACAUGAUCAUUUAGACAAGUGUAACAAACAAAUUAAAAUUAAAUGCACCUGCAACAAUUGAAAACUUGUACUACCAGUCGAAAAGAAAAAAACAAUCCAGUGGCACUGGCAUAAUACAUGGCCGCCUAUAUAUACCUAGUGCUACCGGGCUCCAGAGACAAUUCAACAAAAAUACAAAACACCAGCACACCCCCAGCAGAGUGUAGACUGGAGGAAGAGAAGACAAGGAUGAUUGGAGGCGUUGGAAUAGGAGGCAAAUGGGAAUUACAAAUUACUGAUCUCCUUUGAAAUAGUUCAAGAUAUGAUCAUUUGGAUCAGUAAAUGCAUAGCCACAAAAAUAUGCCAACAAUUUUCGUUGGGACGUACUGAGAGACAAGGAAAAUAUUUCCACUGGUACUUGAACAAUUUGCGUGGCUCCAUAUAUAGUGUUGCUCCCCUUUAGAGAACAGUGAGGCUCCACAAAGUUUCAGCACCCAACAAAGUGUGAAACUUUUCCUCCAAAAAAAAAAUAAAUGAUGGGAGCACUGCCAAUGAAUUAAGAGAGGGGGGGGGGAUGAAAGUACAAAGGUUUAGCAAAUUAAAGACAGAUAAAAAAAAACAAAGAAAAAACAGUGCAGCUGAGAUAUAACAGGUAUAGUAGAAAGCAUCAGGCUAAUGUUGUGGCAGAGCUCAAGGCCCUGGAUCGUAGGCUGCAGAGUGGAUCUUGCAUUCGUCUCAGAGCAACCUCAGUUUGGCCGUGGUAUCUCCCCACCAGACAAGCAGUAAAUCAGGCCCAUUAUCUGUAUUCGUAAUGUAAAUAGAACUAGAGGAAGAGAGAAUGUCCAUUCAAAGAGCUGGGAAAAAAAGCUACGGCCACGGUGUUGGGAAUAUGACGCAAAAGGGAAAUGCACAUCAGAAGAACAUGACUUGAAAGGUUGAGUAGAGCAUGUAAUCCUGGUUUGCAAUUCAGCUCUUUCUUGAUCAGUGAACUGACACAUAGCUGUGUUUUUUCCAGGUAAAUGAAGAAGUGAGAGUGAGGCACAUGCCAGCUAAGUAAUAGACUUCACCGUAGCAUCUCUGUGUGAGUGUCUCGUCCUGCACAGGGGACAAGAAGCGUCAUGCAGUGGUAUGUAUAGAAAAUUUUUGCAGUGGUAGUGUCCGACAACGGAUUAGGAUUUGUGUCCAAAAAAAUGAUGGUCCGUCCGGUCGGUGGAAAAUAUUCCAACAACCACCCCGUCUCCCUCCUCUAAUUAUUAGUUAUAAAAAUAUUGGGUGGUCUAAUUAUGCACCAAAUUCUCUCUUCCUCACAUUCAAACAAUGAAGCUGGUUGUUCUUUCAACUCAUGUUUGUUCUUUUGAACUAUAUAUAUUUUGUUCCACUUGAUCCAACUUUUUG